This 468-nucleotide ribosomal RNA is filed under the name uncultured bacterium. Its description in RNAcentral is "partial 16S ribosomal RNA". It matches the Rfam family "Bacterial small subunit ribosomal RNA", at positions 28 to 507 of the family's 1533-position model. The record is from RNAcentral.
GACGAACGCUGGCGGCGUGCUUAACACAUGCAAGUCGAACGGAAAGGCCCUGCUUUUGUGGGGUGCUCGAGUGGCGAACGGGUGAGUAACACGUGAGUAACCUGCCCUUGACUUUGGGAUAACUUCAGGAAACUGGGGCUAAUACCGGAUAGGAGCUCCUGCUGCAUGGUGGGGGUUGGAAAGUUUCGGCGGUUGGGGAUGGACUCGCGGCUUAUCAGCUUGUUGGUGGGGUAGUGGCUUACCAAGGCUUUGACGGGUAGCCGGCCUGAGAGGGUGACCGGCCACCUUGGGACUGCGAUACGGCCCAGAAUCCUACGGGAGGCAGUAGUGGGGAAUAUUGCACAAUGGGCGGAAGCCUGAUGCAGCAACGCCGCGUGCGGGAUGACGGCCUUCGGGUUGUAAACCGCUUUCGCCUGUGCCGAAGCGUGAGUGACGGUAAUGGGUAAAGAAGCACCGGCUAACUACGUG